Molecule: non-coding RNA, 212 nt
Organism: Pelobates cultripes (western spadefoot toad)
Lineage: Eukaryota; Metazoa; Chordata; Amphibia; Anura; Pelobatidae
Source: the annotation of a GenBank genome assembly
CCUGGCCCCCACCCCUGAGCGGUGGGUGGGGGCCCUAAAUACAAAUUGGGGGGGGACCUAACUACUCUUGUAGUUGCCCCACUGGGAACAAUGAUGCCAUUGAAUGGUUGCCCGGUUGGGUGUCAUCGAGGUGGGUGCGGAAGCUAGGGACCCUCAGGAGUGGGAGGCUGGGAGCGAAGUAAACUGGGGUGCCAGGCGCACGUGGGUUGGAG